UAACGGCUCACCAAGGCUCCGAUGGGUAGCUGGUCUGAGAGGACGAUCAGCCACACUGGGACUGAGACACGGCCCAUACUCCUACGGGAGGCAGCAGUGGGGAAUCUUGCGCAAUGCGCGAAAGCGUGACGCAGCAACGCCGCGUGGGGGAAGAAGGCUUUCGGGUUGUAAACCCCUUUCAGUUGGGACGAAGCUUCAGCGGUGAAUAGCCGUUUGGUGUGACGGUACCUUCACAAGAAGCCCCGGCUAACUUCGUGCCAGCAGCCGCGGUAAUACGAAGGGGGCUAGCGUUGCUCGGAAUGACUGGGCGUAAAGGGCGCGUAGGCGGUUUGUACAGUCAGAUGUGAAAUUCCCGGGCUCAACCUGGGGCUGCAUUUGAUACGUGCAGACUUGAGUUCGGAAGAGGGUCGUGGAAUUCCCAGUGUAGAGGUGAAAUU
Molecule: ribosomal RNA, 437 nt
Filed under: uncultured soil bacterium
Lineage: Bacteria
Description: bacterial SSU rRNA
Rfam family: Bacterial small subunit ribosomal RNA
Source: RNAcentral